UCUCCCAACCCUUGUACCAGUGUGGUAACUGGAAGUCCUGGUACAGAGGUUGGCUGACA
RNAcentral lists this microRNA precursor (59 nucleotides) under Microcaecilia unicolor. RNAcentral's name for it is "Mun-Mir-150_pre stem-loop". The record is from RNAcentral. Lineage: Eukaryota; Metazoa; Chordata; Amphibia; Gymnophiona; Siphonopidae.